RNAcentral lists this ribosomal RNA (512 nucleotides) under uncultured bacterium. RNAcentral's name for it is "partial 16S ribosomal RNA". It matches the Rfam family "Bacterial small subunit ribosomal RNA", at positions 28 to 523 of the family's 1533-position model. The record is from RNAcentral.
GACGAACGCUGGCGGCGUGCCUAAUACAUGCAAGUCGAGCGGAACUGGGGGAGCUUGCUCCUUCCAGUUUAGCGGCGGACGGGUGAGUAACACGUGGGCAACCUGCCCUGCAGAUCGGGAUAACUCCGGGAAACCGGUGCUAAUACCGAAUAGUUUGGCGCCUCUCCUGAGGCGCUACGGAAAGACGGUUUCGGCUGUCACUUCAGGACGGGCCCGCGGCGCAUUAGCUAGUUGGUGGGGUAACGGCCCACCAAGGCGACGAUGCGUAGCCGACCUGAGAGGGUGACCGGCCACACUGGGACUGAGACACGGCCCAGACUCCUACGGGAGGCAGCAGUAGGGAAUCUUCCGCAAUGGACGCAAGUCUGACGGAGCAACGCCGCGUGAGUGACGAAGGUUUUCGGAUCGUAAAACUCUGUUGUGAGGGAAGAACACGUACCAACUAACUAUUGGUACCUUGACGGUACCUCGCCAGAAAGCCACGGCUAACUACGUGCCAGCAGCCGCAGUAA